Molecule: long non-coding RNA, 1494 nt
Organism: Odocoileus virginianus texanus
Lineage: Eukaryota; Metazoa; Chordata; Mammalia; Artiodactyla; Cervidae
Source: RefSeq, a predicted model, not a curated record
AAGUUCGUGAUUUAUUGUUAUGACAGUGAAACAAAUGCAGAAGUCACUCCUGAAAUAAAUCUUUUAAAAACACAUUUAUUCCUGGGAGAUUGUGGUCACUAACCCUAUUUUAAAGAUAAGCAAAUUUAAAAUCAGACAAGUUCCACGGCUUGUCUUAGACCACAAAGCAAUUCUGUGGCAGGGAUUUGUCAAAUAAUUUCUGAUUUCCAGGUUAAAGGUGAAAAACCAAUAAUUUAAUGUGUAUUAAAGCCAGGGUAACAUGGUCGAACAAUUUCCAUUCUUAGUGUGAAUAAACUAAGGGAAGUUGUCCACAGCACUGAACCUUACAACCUCCAGUAACAAUGACCAAUAAUUAACUCCCUGCCAGCCUAACUUAAAUGCGGAUUCAACUCAAAACUAGGUUGUCAGGGGUUUUUCAGUGUGAGCUAGUAAACAAGAAGUCUCUAACUCUGUCAAAUAUUUUCAUUGUUUUGUUAAAUUCUGGCUGUUCAAAACUAGGGUAAUUCUAUCGUUAAACUGACAAAGCCUAUGUUGAAGCCAUCAAGUAAAACGGAAUUGCUUUUUGACAAUCUUGCUUAAAUCAGAUAUAGAGGUGUUACUAGUCUUCUUUUCUGCACCACAUGAGAAAAAAAAUGUAUUGUUGACCCUCACCACAUUUGAUCCAAUCAUUUUAGGCAAAUGAAAUAUAUCUUUAUACAUAUAUUCCCUGGGUCCACAUGAAGAAAUGCAUACUGAAGUAUCCAAGGCUGAAAGAAGGUGAAAUACUGGGACUUGCUUUAAAAUACUUCAGCAAAGGGGGGGGGGGGGGAAGUAUAGAUGAAACAUCUGUGACAGAUAUUUCAACUGUGUAACGUGGGUGACGGCAUAUAGGGAGUUCGUGUCACCUUUUCUAUUUCCGUCUACGCUUAAAGUUUUGCACGAUAACUUUUAACAAAAUGAGUUAUUUCCCAAGUUACCGUCCUGGUUAGAAAACCCGAGUCGGUGUAGGCGAACGUUCUUGUCUUCGCAGCGAAACCGGGCGAAGCGCCUCCAGCCGAGCACACGCUAAGAUCCAACCAUCUGCCCGCCCUUACUGGGUACCAGGGACAUAGCUGAGAGCCAGACGCAAGAAUGCCACCUUACCAUCUCGGUGUGGUUCCAGAUAUGGUGGAGAACAAGGGGACCCUCUUUAGGGGGUGACAUUCAAGCUGACUCCGAGGCCUGGGCAGGACCUAACCACAGGAAGAGCCAGCGGGAAGCCAUGUGGGCAUAGAGGACAACAAGAGUAAAGACCUAGGAAAGUCACAACCACCCUGACUGUUGGGUGGCCUGGUGGCAUGACCGUAGUACCCUCCAAAGUCUGGCAGGAGGUCUGUGAGAUGUCAAAGAAAGGCCUUGUAGGCAGUAGGAGUUUUGAUGAUAUAAUAAUUUGGGAGCCACCGGCAGAUAAAUCUGGAAGAAUGAGUUCGAAAUAUGUUUCUUGAGAAAAGGGAAUAAAGCCCAGAGCAGGAAUGA